AUGAGCCCAGCGAGCAGCAG
This 20-nucleotide unclassified non-coding RNA is filed under the name Mus musculus (house mouse). RNAcentral describes it as "oocyte_clustered_small_RNA8500". Lineage: Eukaryota; Metazoa; Chordata; Mammalia; Rodentia; Muridae. The record is from RNAcentral.